This 259-nucleotide ribosomal RNA is filed under the name uncultured prokaryote. RNAcentral's name for it is "partial 16S ribosomal RNA". It matches the Rfam family "Bacterial small subunit ribosomal RNA", at positions 524 to 782 of the family's 1533-position model. The record is from RNAcentral.
UACGGAGGAUCCAAGCGUUAUCCGGAUUUAUUGGGUUUAAAGGGUGCGCAGGCGGAAGAUUAAGUCGGCGGUGAAAUUUUGCAGCUCAACUGUAAAAGUGCCAUCGAUACUGGUUUUCUUGAGUGUGGAUGAAGUAGGCGGAAUUUGUGGUGUAGCGGUGAAAUGCAUAGAUAUCACGAGGAACUCCGAUUGCGCAGGCAGCUUACUAGACCAUAACUGACGCUCAGGCACGAAGGCGUGGGGAUCAAACAGGAUUAGA